Molecule: ribosomal RNA, 468 nt
Filed under: uncultured bacterium
Lineage: Bacteria
Description: partial 16S ribosomal RNA
Rfam family: Bacterial small subunit ribosomal RNA
Source: RNAcentral
GACGAACGCUGGCGGCGUGCUUAACACAUGCAAGUCGAACGGAAAGGCCCUGCUUUUGUGGGGUGCUCGAGUGGCGAACGGGUGAGUAACACGUGAGUAACCUGCCCUUGACUUUGGGAUAACUUCAGGAAACUGGGGCUAAUACCGGAUAGGAGCUCCUGCUGCCUGGUGGGGGUGGGAAAUUUUCGGCGGUUGGGGAUGGACUCGCGGCUUAUCAGCUUGUUGGUGGGGUAGUGGCUUACCAAGGCUUUGACGGGUAGCCGGCCUGAGAGGGUGACCGGCCACAUUGGGACUGAGAUACGGCCCAGACUCCUACGGGAGGCAGCAGUGGGGAAUAUUGCACAAUGGGCGGAAGCCUGAUGCAGCAACGCCGCGUGCGGGAUGACGGCCUUCGGGUUGUAAACCGCUUUCGCCUGUGACGAAGCGUGAGUGACGGUAAUGGGUAAAGAAGCACCGGCUAACUACGUG